Ictalurus punctatus (channel catfish) is the source of this 2335-nucleotide long non-coding RNA. Lineage: Eukaryota; Metazoa; Chordata; Actinopteri; Siluriformes; Ictaluridae. The record is from Ensembl.
CUUGGUUCUGCCUUGGUUCUGCUGUCUCUGUUAGAUUAGGACCUUGUUGCUUUUAUUCCACUUUUUCUUCAUUAAUGUCUCGGGUUUUGUGUUUUACCCUCCGAUACACCGUUUCCUGCCAUUGUGUGUCACAGACACAGACGGCCCCUGGCCUCCUUACAGAGGGUCCCUCCCACCUCCAGCCCCUCACACACACACACACACACACACACACACACACACACACACACACACACACAUACAUACACAGGGCUCAUUUCUUCCUCCACUCACUCAGACUCUGAGGGAUUGUAAAGUUGCAGAGACAAACAGAGAGAGCCGGACUCAGUCCAUUCCCUCGUUCACUUUCUGUCUAUAUCUGCUGGAUGCUGUCUGUGUCUCUCUCUCUCUCUCUCUCUCUCUCUCUCUCUCUCUCUCUCUCUAUCCUGGACGCUGUCUCGAUCUCUCGGAUUAGGACGUGGAAUAUGAACCCUGGACUCUGAGACCCUGUGGGAGUACACCCUCUGAGCUGAAUAAAGAUCUGCCUGUACAGCGCUUCAGCUCCAAAUUCCCACUUGGAAAGUUGGAGCUGUUUGAGAGCUCUGAUUUCUCUGAGCGUAACAUGUGAAAAGGAAGAAGAAGACGAAAUAACAGACAGACAAGGAGACGACACAGCACCUGAAUUCACCUUUAUUUCUGAGUUCAGAUGCCUGAGUUUGCCGCAAUGCUCUAAUGUGGGAAGUAGGAGGGCCCGAGUUGGAAAAUUCUGAGAUCUCAGUUGUUGUGAAUGCAGCAUAGCUCCUUAGCCCCGCCUCUUUUCCUUAAAAUUGUAUAGUUGAUGUAGACACAGUUUUCACCUUUUAAAAAAGUCUUUUUUCCUUAAAAUGAUGUACAACAAGCAAAUAAAGGAUACCCAUAAUGCCCUGCGGCACUUAAAGGCAACACACACACAGCUGAAUCAUCAAACUAUUUCCCCCAAUAUCACUGCUGAGGUUUCUCCAGUGUGAGGAAGUUUUCAUGGCCUCAAUGUGGAGAAAUUGAUGUCAGUGUUUCCUUGCGUGUAUUUAGUGUGUAUUUAGCCUGUGUUUAGUGUGUGUUUAGCAUGUGAUUAGCGUGUUGUUUAGUGUGUAUUUAGCAUGUAUUUAGAGGGUGUUUAGCUUGUGUUUUGCAUGUGUUUAGUGUGUAUUUAGCAUGUGAUUAGCGUGUGUUUAGUGUGUGUUUAACGUGUGUUUUAGUGUGUAUUUAGCAUGUGUUUAGUGUGUGUUUAGUGUGUAUUUAGCAUGUGAUUAGCGUGUGUUUAGUGUGUAUUUAGCGUGUGAUUAGCGUGUGUUUAGCGUGUGAUUAGCGUGUGUUUAGCGUGUGUUUAGCGUGUGUUUAGCGUGUGUUUAGCGUGUGUUUAGCGUGUGUUUAACGUGUGUUUAGCGUGUGUUUAGUGUGCGUUUAGCGUGCGUUAGUGUGCGUUUAACGUGCGUUUAGCAUGCGUCCUAGGACUCAGCUCAUCACAGAUGCUGGUCAGGUCGUUACUUUGUGCUCUGUAGUUUCUAAUUUGUAGUUUAAUUUCACUUUGUGGUAUUAUUACCCUGCAUGUGUAAAGAGACGGAAUCUGAUGUGCGCUGUACUGCUCCUGAAUCCAGGUUUAGGAUUAGACCAGGAGAACAUGUUGUGUUCCAGCGGAACCUUAAGCAGAAGUUCCACCUCAUCAUGAUAACACACAGAUGAAUCGUACUGUUUGGAGUUUUAACUUUUUGAAUGUUUGUUGAGGUUUUUUUUUGCGUGUUUCGCCUUCUCUAACAUUCGAUGCGCAGCUCUUAACGUUGUUCUCGAGGAGUUUGAUGUAACGGUGAUGUUAAUGUCACUGUGCUGGUGUGAUCAUACGAUUGUUUUCAAAUCAUUUCCCACAGCACUGUUCAUGUGGAGAUGAUUCAAAACGAAAUAUCUGUACACGUGUGGACGAGGCCUCAGACACAUAGUAAGAGAAAAGUGGACACCAACUGAUGAUGUCAUCAAUGCCUAUGAUGUGAGAGUGACCUAAACAACCCAGCAACAAUCCCCCUAAUCCUGUAAUAUAAUAUAAUACAGACAGCUGCUUGAUAAUAGUUUUGGUUCUCUAUCACCAGUCGUGACUCACGUGAACAACCUCCUGGUGCAGGCGCGAAUACAUCUUGCUCAAAGUUAAUUUGGUAGAAAUGAACACAAAUUGUUCUCUGAAAUGCUUUGUUAGCAUACGUCCUGUUUUUCAGACCUUAAAAAAGGGUCUAAAUUCGAGAAAAUGUCCGUGAUUCAGCUUUAGUUUCAUUAUGAUGUGUUUAUGGUCUGAUACUGCAUCAUGUGUGCGCAUGAUUGCAUCACUUUCACC